Molecule: transfer-messenger RNA, 82 nt
Filed under: Pararhodospirillum photometricum DSM 122
Lineage: Bacteria; Pseudomonadati; Pseudomonadota; Alphaproteobacteria; Rhodospirillales; Rhodospirillaceae
Description: transfer-messenger RNA Rhodo_photo_122
Rfam family: Alphaproteobacteria transfer-messenger RNA
About the family: Bacterial tmRNA, also known as 10Sa RNA or SsrA, is named for its dual tRNA and mRNA-like properties. Its role is to liberate the mRNA from a stalled ribosome. To accomplish this part of the tmRNA is used as a reading frame that ends in a translation stop signal.
Source: RNAcentral
GCCGGUGCAAGCCGGCUAUGACACUAAACCUCACGCGGAAUAAGCGUUGCGGACCCGGGGGCGGUACCCGGCGCCUCCACCA